GAAAACAACACUAGUGAUUAUGACAAUAAUAGUGAAAAUAAUAUUUAUGACGUAUUGUAUUAUAAAAUAAAAAAUAUUAUUAAUGAUUUAACACCCAAUGAACUUAAUAUUUUACUUCCAAAUAAAUCGGAUAUAAAUUCUAAUAUAAUGCAUACUAAGCUUAGAGAUGUACGAAAAGGACAUAACCCUAGCGCACAUAUUAAUAAAAUGAACGAAUAUGUACCAUCAUGUACUCAUUUAAUAAAUAAACACACGUCAAAGUGUUAUAAAAACAGUAUAAGUUUCAAUCGUAGUAGUAGCACUGGUAGUUGCAAGUGUAAUAGAAGUUGUGAUACCAUGUGUAAAAUCAGGAAUAGCAGUAGUAGAAGUAGAAAUGGUAGCAUUUUUAGUAGUAAUAGUAGUAGUAGUAGUAGUAGUAUAAGUAACGAUGAACGCAAUGGUAUUAGCCAUAAUAAGAAUAGUAAUAUUUUAAUAAAAAAAUAUAAUAAAGAUAAUACAUAUGAUUCUGAUUUUUCUUUAUUUAAUAAGAAUAAUAAUAAAAGCAUAUCUGAUUUAUAUGUUAAUAAAAGACGUCACAAAAAAAAUAACAUAGAAUACCAAUUUGGUUAUGGGUUGAAAAAAAAAAGAUAUAAAAAUUUAAAUAAAAGGAAUGGUAAUAAAUCUAUUUUUAGAAACAUAUUGAAUUUAAUUAGUUUAAUAAAAAGUAAAAUAAUAAAGACUGUAGCAAUUAAGAAUAGUAAUAUGAACAAAUUUCAAAGUAAUUGUUUACAUAAUUAUAUUAAAUUAAUAUUAACAGAGUUUCAUGACAAAAUGAAAAGAAUAUAUAUUAAAAUAUCGGUUGUAUAUGCUCCAGUUGCCGAAAUAAUGACAAGAUGUAUUAACAACCUUUAUAAAGAUGCCAACUUUUUAUAUGAAAUUCAAGGAAGAGAUAAAAAAAAUAUAUAUAAAUAUAUGAAACAUGUAGGGGAAAAUAAUUAUAUUCAUGCUAAUCAUUAUACUUUUAAAAACAAUAUGUGUUCAAAAGCAUUGUAUACAGAAAAAAAUAAACUCAACAAUAUGUACUUUGUUAAUAGCAAUAUUCCGAGUUUUAAUAAUAGUAAUGACUAUAACAAUAUAUGCACUCCUAAUUUUAGCAAAACGCUUGAUUAUUUUAAUAUGGUGGAUACUUGUGGUGUUUGCAAUACUUAUAAUAAUUCUACUGAUUUUAAAUUAGCUAAUGAAAAGAAGCAAUUACAAUACACUUCUAAUUUUCCGAUAUAUAUAAAUAACAGUUUACAAGAAAGUAUAAAAAGGAAAUAUACAUAUUUGGCAGAUAAAAUGCAUUUUUGUAGUAAUAAUAUGAACAACAAUAACUAUAAUAAUAUAAGAGAUAAUAGACAUAAGUAUUAUGGGUGGGAACUAGAACGUACAAAAAAUAAUUAUAGUGGCGCUAAUAAUAGUAAUAAUAAUAGCAAUGAAAAGAAUUGUUUGUUAACGGACCGAUGUAAUAGUAUAAAUAGUAAUGACACUUAUAAUUGUUACAAUAAUAUAGACAUACAUGAUACUAAACUUGAGCAACUUACACCUACUAUAAAUGUAUAUAAAGAUAAACAAAAAAAUAAAGAAACAUAUUUGAAAAAAAGAGAGAAAUAUAUAAAACGGUUGUGUUGUAUGUAUGCACAGGAUAAUGUACAUAAUUCAAAAGGAUUAAACGAAAAAAAUAAAAACAAAAUAAAUACAAAAUUUGAUUUAUUGAUGAAUAAACACGAGAAUGGAAAAAUAAAAAAUAAUUAUAGAAAUCAU
Piliocolobus tephrosceles (Ugandan red Colobus) is the source of this 1782-nucleotide long non-coding RNA. Lineage: Eukaryota; Metazoa; Chordata; Mammalia; Primates; Cercopithecidae. The record is from Ensembl.